UGUGGUGACAUCAGGUGACAUCAGGUGCUGCCAUUGUCCCAUUGGGUGUCCCCAACCCUAUGGGGUGACAUUGGGUGACAUUGGAUGGUGCCAUUGACCCGUUUGGUGUCCCCAAUCCUACGUGGUGACAUGGGGUGACAUCAAGUGGUGCCAUUGACCCGUUUGUUGUCCCCAACCCCACGUGGUGACAUCGGGUGACAUCAGGUGGUGCCACUGACUUUUUGGAUGUCCCCAACCCUCCGUGGUGACACAUCAGGUGGUGCCACUGACUUUUUGGGUGUCCCCAACCCUCCGUGGUGACAUUGGGUGACAUCAGGUGCUGCCAUUGACCCGCUGGAUGUCCCCAAACCUCCAUGGUGACAUGGGGUGACAUCAGGUGGUGCCAUUGACCCGCUGGAUGUCCCCACGCAGAUGACAAACCGCUGACGGAGGCCUACGAGGUGACAGUUGGUGGCACUUCUGGUGGCUCUCGUGUCAUCUCCACGCCCGACCUGGCGCAUUUCCUCGUGCGCUGCCUCAGCACCACCGAGUUCGAUGGCAAGAGCGUCUACGUGUGCGGGCACUACGACUGAGGGGCAGCGGGGGACACUGCGGGGACAUCCGUGGGGACGUCGCGGGGACAUCCGUGGGGGCAUUGGGGGACAUCAUGGGGGCAUUCGGGGACAUCGUGGGGACACUUUAGGGACAUUAUGGGGACAUCAGGGAGACAUUGUGGGGGACAUCCAUGGGGACAUCGCGGUGACAUCCAUGGGGGCAUUGGGGACAUCGUGGGGACACUGUGGGGACAUCGGGGGGACACUGGGGGGACAUCCAUGGGGACAUUGGGGGACGUUGGGGUCAAUGGGGUCAAUGGGGUGACACUGGGGUCAAUGGGGUCAAUGGGGUGACACUGGGGUCAAUGGGGUCAAUGGGGUGACACUGGGGUCAAUGGGGUCAAUGGGGUGACACUGGGGUCAAUGGGGUCAAUGGGGUGACACUGGGGUCAAUGGGGUCAAUGGGGUGACACUGGGGUCAAUGGGGUCAAUGGGGUGACACUGGGGUCAAUGGGGUCAAUGGGGUGACACUGGGGUCAAUGGGGUCAAUGGGGUGACACUGGGGUCAAUGGGGUCAAUGGGGUGACACUGGGGUCAAUGGGGUCAAUGGGGUGACACUGGGGUCAAUGGGGUCAAUGGGGUGACACUGGGGUCAAUGGGGUCAAUGGGGUGACACUGGGGUCAAUGGGGUCAAUGGGGUGACACUGGGGUCAAUGGGGUCAAUGGGGUGACACUGGGGUCAAUGGGGUCAAUGGGGUGACACUGGGGUCAAUGGGGUCAAUGGGGUGACACUGGAGUCAAUGGGGACAUUGGAGUCAGUGGGGCCAAUGGGGUCAAUGGGAUAGUGGGGCCAGUGGGGUCAAGGGGAUAAAUGGGUUCAGUGGGGACAUUGGAGUCAGUGGGGUCAAUGGGGUGACACUGGGGUCAAUGGGGUCAAUGGGGAGGUCUCCUAUGGGGUUUUAUAGGAGCACCGUAUGGGGUUCUGUAGGGUCU
This 1526-nucleotide long non-coding RNA is filed under the name Chrysolophus pictus (golden pheasant). RNAcentral describes it as "lncRNA (ENSCPIG00010006930.1)". The record is from RNAcentral. Lineage: Eukaryota; Metazoa; Chordata; Aves; Galliformes; Phasianidae.